GUCUAUGGCCAUACCACCCUGAAUGCGCCCGAGCUUGUCUGAUCUCGGAAGCAAGCAGGUUAGGGCCUGGUUAGUACUUGGAUGGGAGAAUGCUUGAUCAGAUAUACU
RNAcentral lists this ribosomal RNA (108 nucleotides) under Castor canadensis (American beaver). Lineage: Eukaryota; Metazoa; Chordata; Mammalia; Rodentia; Castoridae. The record is from RNAcentral.